ACCGUUACUGCGAGACCUUCCUCGCUCCCCCAUCGGCAUCGGCUGCGGAAGAAACGACGUCAUUCAGCGUGGUCUGGAUGGCGCAUUGCGCAACUAAGCCGGUCGCCUUUGUCUUCUCUUCCAGCACCGGGCAAUGGCGACCCGUCUCGUCGCCAAGUUGGAGUGGUUCCAUUGCUGACUUGCUAUUGUUGACACAGAUGCCUCCCUUCUCCGGGCGCCAGUAUGCGUAUGGGUGCUUCUAUUGGCUCAAACUUUGGGGGGGACAGCUGCUGGAGCUUGACACUCGGAGGAUGGAGGUCUCCAUUAGUCAACUCCCACGCGAAAUCGGAUGUUCGCGUGGUGAGGAUAUAGAUAUAGCCAUUUUGGAGGCAGGGGAAGGCAGGCCCGGGAUGUUUGUGCGUUCAGAAUUCGCAAAUCACCUCGACUAUUUUGUUAGGGGGAACAAUGGUGGUUGGCAAUUUGAGAAGACCGUCCCACUGGAUUUUGACUGCUUGUUCAUCGGUUCGACGGGGAGGCACUUGUUCCUAUUUAAGCCCGGAAGCUCAUCACUCGAUGCACGCCUUUUAUCUCUGGAUGUCAAGACGUUCCAUCUUGAGAGUGUGUUUGUUUCAAACUCUUUCAUCACCUCAGGGCGCAGAAUCCGCACAUAUAGCAACUUCCCACCAUCGUUAUUGUCAACACCAAGAAUAUAAAAAACUAUCAAGCGGUGUUGAAAAGGGGGUUGAGGAGUUGCUGGAACAAGGCUGUGCUGCAAUGUCAAGACCACAUUCACCACGGUCAGAAUAGUGCCGAGAAUGCUGGAGGUCUGGCAGUGUUGUGGAUUAGAGAUGUUCGUCAUGUGUGGUGAUGCAACUCUUAAAAACUAAGUUGGUCUAGUAUGGUGAUUAUUGAACUAUUUGGCUGUAAUACGGCCACCUAGAAGCUAGAUUUUGUCUGCCUUGAUCUGACAAUGGUUAAUGCGUUUGCCAGAUAAGGUAGAGAGAGAAAGAGUAUUAAGUUUCUGCACAAUCAUUAGAUUAACUAAGACUUCUGUUUUUAUAUAAUGUGGCCGUGGUUUUGCUGUA
Molecule: RNA transcript, 1064 nt
Organism: Lolium rigidum
Lineage: Eukaryota; Viridiplantae; Streptophyta; Magnoliopsida; Poales; Poaceae
Exons: 2
Source: RefSeq, a predicted model, not a curated record